This 2900-nucleotide ribosomal RNA is filed under the name Escherichia coli. RNAcentral's name for it is "23S ribosomal RNA". It matches the Rfam family "Bacterial large subunit ribosomal RNA". Lineage: Bacteria; Pseudomonadati; Pseudomonadota; Gammaproteobacteria; Enterobacterales; Enterobacteriaceae. The record is from RNAcentral.
UUAAGCGACUAAGCGUACACGGUGGAUGCCCUGGCAGUCAGAGGCGAUGAAGGACGUGCUAAUCUGCGAUAAGCGUCGGUAAGGUGAUAUGAACCGUUAUAACCGGCGAUUUCCGAAUGGGGAAACCCAGUGUGUUUCGACACACUAUCAUUAACUGAAUCCAUAGGUUAAUGAGGCGAACCGGGGGAACUGAAACAUCUAAGUACCCCGAGGAAAAGAAAUCAACCGAGAUUCCCCCAGUAGCGGCGAGCGAACGGGGAGCAGCCCAGAGCCUGAAUCAGUGUGUGUGUUAGUGGAAGCGUCUGGAAAGGCGCGCGAUACAGGGUGACAGCCCCGUACACAAAAAUGCACAUGCUGUGAGCUCGAUGAGUAGGGCGGGACACGUGGUAUCCUGUCUGAAUAUGGGGGGACCAUCCUCCAAGGCUAAAUACUCCUGACUGACCGAUAGUGAACCAGUACCGUGAGGGAAAGGCGAAAAGAACCCCGGCGAGGGGAGUGAAAAAGAACCUGAAACCGUGUACGUACAAGCAGUGGGAGCACGCUUAGGCGUGUGACUGCGUACCUUUUGUAUAAUGGGUCAGCGACUUAUAUUCUGUAGCAAGGUUAACCGAAUAGGGGAGCCGAAGGGAAACCGAGUCUUAACUGGGCGUUAAGUUGCAGGGUAUAGACCCGAAACCCGGUGAUCUAGCCAUGGGCAGGUUGAAGGUUGGGUAACACUAACUGGAGGACCGAACCGACUAAUGUUGAAAAAUUAGCGGAUGACUUGUGGCUGGGGGUGAAAGGCCAAUCAAACCGGGAGAUAGCUGGUUCUCCCCGAAAGCUAUUUAGGUAGCGCCUCGUGAAUUCAUCUCCGGGGGUAGAGCACUGUUUCGGCAAGGGGGUCAUCCCGACUUACCAACCCGAUGCAAACUGCGAAUACCGGAGAAUGUUAUCACGGGAGACACACGGCGGGUGCUAACGUCCGUCGUGAAGAGGGAAACAACCCAGACCGCCAGCUAAGGUCCCAAAGUCAUGGUUAAGUGGGAAACGAUGUGGGAAGGCCCAGACAGCCAGGAUGUUGGCUUAGAAGCAGCCAUCAUUUAAAGAAAGCGUAAUAGCUCACUGGUCGAGUCGGCCUGCGCGGAAGAUGUAACGGGGCUAAACCAUGCACCGAAGCUGCGGCAGCGACACUAUGUGUUGUUGGGUAGGGGAGCGUUCUGUAAGCCUGCGAAGGUGUGCUGUGAGGCAUGCUGGAGGUAUCAGAAGUGCGAAUGCUGACAUAAGUAACGAUAAAGCGGGUGAAAAGCCCGCUCGCCGGAAGACCAAGGGUUCCUGUCCAACGUUAAUCGGGGCAGGGUGAGUCGACCCCUAAGGCGAGGCCGAAAGGCGUAGUCGAUGGGAAACAGGUUAAUAUUCCUGUACUUGGUGUUACUGCGAAGGGGGGACGGAGAAGGCUAUGUUGGCCGGGCGACGGUUGUCCCGGUUUAAGCGUGUAGGCUGGUUUUCCAGGCAAAUCCGGAAAAUCAAGGCUGAGGCGUGAUGACGAGGCACUACGGUGCUGAAGCAACAAAUGCCCUGCUUCCAGGAAAAGCCUCUAAGCAUCAGGUAACAUCAAAUCGUACCCCAAACCGACACAGGUGGUCAGGUAGAGAAUACCAAGGCGCUUGAGAGAACUCGGGUGAAGGAACUAGGCAAAAUGGUGCCGUAACUUCGGGAGAAGGCACGCUGAUAUGUAGGUGAAGUCCCUCGCGGAUGGAGCUGAAAUCAGUCGAAGAUACCAGCUGGCUGCAACUGUUUAUUAAAAACACAGCACUGUGCAAACACGAAAGUGGACGUAUACGGUGUGACGCCUGCCCGGUGCCGGAAGGUUAAUUGAUGGGGUCAGCGCAAGCGAAGCUCUUGAUCGAAGCCCCGGUAAACGGCGGCCGUAACUAUAACGGUCCUAAGGUAGCGAAAUUCCUUGUCGGGUAAGUUCCGACCUGCACGAAUGGCGUAAUGAUGGCCAGGCUGUCUCCACCCGAGACUCAGUGAAAUUGAACUCGCUGUGAAGAUGCAGUGUACCCGCGGCAAGACGGAAAGACCCCGUGAACCUUUACUAUAGCUUGACACUGAACAUUGAGCCUUGAUGUGUAGGAUAGGUGGGAGGCUUUGAAGUGUGGACGCCAGUCUGCAUGGAGCCGACCUUGAAAUACCACCCUUUAAUGUUUGAUGUUCUAACGUUGACCCGUGAUCCGGGUUGCGGACAGUGUCUGGUGGGUAGUUUGACUGGGGCGGUCUCCUCCUAAAGAGUAACGGAGGAGCACGAAGGUUGGCUAAUCCUGGUCGGACAUCAGGAGGUUAGUGCAAUGGCAUAAGCCAGCUUGACUGCGAGCGUGACGGCGCGAGCAGGUGCGAAAGCAGGUCAUAGUGAUCCGGUGGUUCUGAAUGGAAGGGCCAUCGCUCAACGGAUAAAAGGUACUCCGGGGAUAACAGGCUGAUACCGCCCAAGAGUUCAUAUCGACGGCGGUGUUUGGCACCUCGAUGUCGGCUCAUCACAUCCUGGGGCUGAAGUAGGUCCCAAGGGUAUGGCUGUUCGCCAUUUAAAGUGGUACGCGAGCUGGGUUUAGAACGUCGUGAGACAGUUCGGUCCCUAUCUGCCGUGGGCGCUGGAGAACUGAGGGGGGCUGCUCCUAGUACGAGAGGACCGGAGUGGACGCAUCACUGGUGUUCGGGUUGUCAUGCCAAUGGCACUGCCCGGUAGCUAAAUGCGGAAGAGAUAAGUGCUGAAAGCAUCUAAGCACGAAACUUGCCCCGAGAUGAGUUCUCCCUGACUCCUUGAGAGUCCUGAAGGAACGUUGAAGACGACGACGUUGAUAGGCCGGGUGUGUAAGCGCAGCGAUGCGUUGAGCUAACCGGUACUAAUGAACCGUGAGGCUUAACCU